AGGCAGUUGGCAAAGCUCAAAAUAGCCAUCUUAGGAUUGACCUUUGGCCCUCUGUGCUCAGGCAAAGUAACACAAAACAGAAGAGGCAGCCAAGGGCUUGAGGUCCAGACUCUGGGUCACAUGUUCUCACUUCCAGCUCAAGCACCAUAGACACUGCUAGGGAGCAGAAUGGAAGAGAAACUCCUUCACCCAACUGAAGGGAGAGCCCAUGGAGCCCCCAUUAAGGUGUUCAAAAGACAGGAAGAGAGGCAGCGUUGCUCUUUCCCAGAUGGUAGCUCAUCACCUUCAAUAUCUUUCUACCAUGAAAGGCAGCAGUAAAGGAGGGCUGUAGCACCCCAAACCAAAGGACCAGGGAGCACAUAUGGCUUGCCACAAAAGUGUACAAAGAACUGGGAACAAGAUGUCGACCCUGACCUCAAGGACUUAAUUAUCUAACAAGGAAUUUGAAGAAGGGAUGAAAGAAGCAACCACUAGAACAAAACAAAACAAUACAGAAGAGGGCACAAAACAAAUGACACAGCAGGAAGAGGCAGUGAACACACAUCAGGAUCCAGAAAGACCUUGCCAGGCUGGACUCUUUAGAAGGUCUCCACCAAUGAGCCUCCAUCAAAGACUGAAUGGGGACCUUUGUUCAACGUUCCUGUAAAAGGGGGUUCCACGUUUCGUCGGAGCCCCCUGAGGUGGCAAGAUUGCUCAGACACCGUGAAAGGUCUGGAGAGGUAGGCUGGAUGCUCACCAAGGAGUCUGGAGGGGACUCUACUACCAUCGGGGAGUCACGCCAGCCCCACCAUCCCGCAUCCCUGUGCACGGCAUUCUCUCAGCCCCUAGGCACGGAGAUGAUGCCCAGGGAAGGCGUUCGCAUCCGCACCGGGCUUUGGGACUCCAGAGCGGCUCUCUCCUUAUCCCCUAUCCGCUCUGCUCCAUCCUGAGUGAGAAGCCCCUCACCGCAGGAGGGAGACCCCCGGCACCUCCCAGAGCAGUGACCUCUGCCCCCCACAAGGGCUGCUUCUUUGUACUUUCCCUUCCACAGACUGAGUCCUCUCCUUUACUUUUCCUCCCAUCCCCAGUAACUGCCCAUUCAGUAUCUACAGUGGUUCUAGAGAUCAUCUCCAACUGGUUGGAAGAAAUGUUCAGGUCCGGAGGAUUUGAAGCUAGUCCCCCCUCCCCCCAGCAAGGCACCUUACCUCUACUCGAUCAUCUAUAAAUAUUACCCAUGUUUUAUUGUA
Molecule: long non-coding RNA, 1226 nt
Organism: Monodelphis domestica (gray short-tailed opossum)
Lineage: Eukaryota; Metazoa; Chordata; Mammalia; Didelphimorphia; Didelphidae
Source: RefSeq, a predicted model, not a curated record